GAAAACAAUAUUUUGUGUCGAUUACAUCGCUAGAAUAAUUUUAUCAUUACAAUUUUUUACAAUUAUAACGCGCUUUUACAUUUAUUAAUUUAUUUUAUCAAUUGUAACCAACAUAACGUGUUUCUAAAAAAAUUAGCAACGGUAAGCAGCGAAUUAAAAGUGAAUAGAAUGCAGCCAUUGAUGCAUCGACCAUCAACUAUAUAGUGUAGAUGUCGCUAUAAAGUGUAUACAAAUAUUCUUGAUCAGCGACAACUGCCGAGGCGAUAUAAAAGAUGAGAACGACAUCGAAGUCGACGAUGCGGGAUAUUUAAAAGUGAAAUAACGAAGCACAAAAUCAAAUGCAGAGAUAUCGCAUAUUACUUUUUUUUGUAAAUUCAAUUAUCCAUGAAGGAUUUUAUUUAACUAUUUUUAAAUGCUCAAUGAAGAGAGCAAAAGUGUUGCCACAAAUUAAAUUUUAGAAAUAUCGGUGAUCUAUUACUAAGUGCGGCCAAAAAUGAAAUGCUUUGGAAAAAAAAGUCUCUGGAAAAGGUGCACAAAAAUAUGCUUCCGAAUUGAAACCGACAUAGCAAAUAGAAGGCAGAAAGUGAGCUGAGAUUGGCACAGAAAAGUGAGGAAAUUGCCGAGCAACAAUUGGAAGAACUUCAAGCACAAUUGGAUUAAAAACGCAGUCAAGGAAAACAGAAGGCGAACAGCAACUCGACGAAACUCAAUUUCGCGGAAAUAUCCAUUUGUUUUUUGAAUCGUUUUGCAAGAAGAUUAUUUAUUAUUUAUUUAUUAGAAUAUUUUAAGAAAUCAUUUUUUUUUGCUUCCUCAAAUUUUGAUUUUAACAACGUUAAUUCUUUUUCCUUUUUAACCUUUUGGGAACGCAUCUUAUUGUAAUGUUUUUAUGCGCAUUCUUUGUUGCUUGGCAAGUUUUUCACUUGUCUGUGCCAAUUUCAGAUCACUUUCGGUCUUCCUAUUUCCUAUGUCAGCAACUUUUUUUUUUCAAUUCGUUUAUCAAAUUCUCGUAAAUUUCUAUUUGUUUUUUGAAUCGUUUUGCAAAACUAAUAAAUAAAU
Long non-coding RNA from Drosophila albomicans, 1056 nucleotides. RefSeq lists it as uncharacterized. The record is from RefSeq and is a predicted model, not a curated record. Lineage: Eukaryota; Metazoa; Arthropoda; Insecta; Diptera; Drosophilidae. The transcript has 4 exons.